UGCCAGCCGCCGCGGUAAUACGAAGGGAGCUAGCGUUGUUCGGAAUUACUGGGCGUAAAGGGCGCGUAGGCGGUCAUAUUAGUUAGGCGUGAAAGCCCUGGGCUCAACCCAGGAAUUGCGUUUAAUACUGUAUGACUAGAGAUCGAGAGAGGAUAGCGGAAUUCCAAGUGUAGAGGUGAAAUUCGUAGAUAUUUGGAAGAACACCAGUGGCGAAGGCGGCUAUCUGGCUCGAUACUGACGCUGAGGCGCGAAAGCGUGGGGAGCAAACAGGAUUAGAUA
RNAcentral lists this ribosomal RNA (279 nucleotides) under uncultured bacterium. Its description in RNAcentral is "partial 16S ribosomal RNA". It matches the Rfam family "Bacterial small subunit ribosomal RNA", at positions 506 to 784 of the family's 1533-position model. The record is from RNAcentral.